ACUCCUACGGGAGGCAGCAGUGGGAAUAUUGCACGAAUGGGCGCAAGCCUGAUGCAGCCAUGCCGCGUGUGUGAAGAAGGGCCUUCGGGUUGAUAAAGCACUUUUCAGUUGUGAGGAAAGGUUAGUCGCUAAUAUCGGCUAGCUGUGACGUUAGCAACAGAAGAAGCACCGGCUAACUCCGUGCCAGCAGCCGCGGUAAUACGGAGGGUGCGAGCGUUAAUCGGAAUUACUGGGCGUAAAGCGCGUGUAGGUGGCUUGUUAAGCCAGA
This 268-nucleotide ribosomal RNA is filed under the name uncultured bacterium. RNAcentral's name for it is "partial 16S ribosomal RNA". It matches the Rfam family "Bacterial small subunit ribosomal RNA", at positions 335 to 592 of the family's 1533-position model. The record is from RNAcentral.